GACAUUUGAUGUGCAGAUGGACCUAGGAAUAAGCUAUUCUCAUUUGUUUACUUCCAGACUGGAAAAUUCCUUUUUGAAAUGAAUUACUAGAGGAAGCCAGGAUUAUGAUGAUUUCCUGCAUCACAUCUUUGUAGAAAUUCUGAGAAGGAUCCAGCCAAGCCCACUUCUGUUGGGUGAAGGUCACAGUCACAACUUCAAAGGCAACUAAGUUCGUAUUCCAACUUCCUGGGUGUCCUGGCAUCCUCCCCAUGCAUGUCCCAGUACCUGCAGGUCACAGAGUGAUAAAGGCUGUGGCAGAACUCCCUGGGCCUCCUACAGUGAAGAAGAAGGAGCAGCGAAGACUGACUGAGCAGUGGACAUGUGGGCAUGAAAGACCUGAGUAGAUUUAUUUAUUGAAAGAAAACCGUGCAGUUCAUCGAAUCAAAGUCCUGAACACAGAAAACAAGGCAGGAAGACAUCACAGAGCACAGUCAGUGACAUGCCAGGAGCUCCUGUGUUGCUAAGCAAAGACGCAUCUUGAAUGUGAAUGCUGCUCUCUAGCCAAACUCAUAUAUCCUUACGUGACUGAAUCCUAUGAUGGUAUACACCGUGGAAAUGAACUCCUAUUUUACGUGGCAUCAAGGCUGAAUCCCUUCAUUGGGUCUUGCUCUCCAUCCUCAACCCAUGAGAUUCCACUGAUCCCAAUGAUGGAUGUGCUGAUUAAGUUUAUUUUUCUUACAUCCUCUAAAUAAUGCUUGUUUUAUCUUUAUGGUUUUUAAAAUGUGCUUCCUAAACUGUGUUUCAUUGUAUGUUAGUUCCAUAAUGUGUUGGCUAGAAUUCCAUGGUCAAAUAUAUUUGAGAAAUACUGUAUCAUAUUCCUCUCUAGGAGAUUCACAAUAUGCAAUAGCAUACUGAAGGCUCUGAAAAUUCCUACUGUGUUAAAAAAGGAAGCAAAAUAAAAAAGUCUUUUACUCAAUUUAAACCAGACUUUCCCCAGCUUGUUUGAGACAGAACACUUGUGCUUUGUAGUACACUUAUUAACGGCCUGCAAAAUAAUGAUGAGCAGGAAACUGGUUCUGGGAACAUUGUUUUAUGCUAUUCCUUUGUCUGUAAUGUUCACUAAAUUUUUUUUUCACCACUUUCUUUUAAAAUGCCAAUCAUCCUACAAAAAUUGCAUUCUGCUUCCAUGGAAAGGUGCAUUACAUUUGAGUAAGUAGGGAAAGGUGAAGGGCAUUGUGAGUAGGGGAAUAACCAAAUACAACCACGUUAUUCAUCACACGUUGUCAGUAUCUUAGCUUCUUUUAUCAACUAUAUUCUAAGAUUCUUGAGAGCAAGGAUUGUUUUUUUAAAAAAUACUGCAAACCAGACUCAGUACAACUUUCCCAAUUAUCCUGAAUACCAGGUGUAAUUCCAGCAGUCACACCACAAAAAGACAUAAUGCCAAUUAAAAAACAGAUCUAGUGAAGGAUUGAGGACAAGGAGUUACUGUAUGAAGUUAGAGUUAGAAACAUUAGUCUAAAGGGAAAAUCGACUUUUUGUCCAAAUCUGGUAAUAUCAGUCACCGCAAGGAGAUCUUAUGUGUGAUUUGAGC
This 1570-nucleotide long non-coding RNA is filed under the name Homo sapiens (human). Its description in RNAcentral is "HSALNT0097156". Lineage: Eukaryota; Metazoa; Chordata; Mammalia; Primates; Hominidae. The record is from RNAcentral.